Molecule: ribosomal RNA, 309 nt
Filed under: uncultured eukaryote
Lineage: Eukaryota
Description: partial 18S ribosomal RNA
Rfam family: Eukaryotic small subunit ribosomal RNA
Source: RNAcentral
CCCUUAGAUGUUCUGGGCGGCCCGCGCACUACAAUGGCGUGUGCAGCGAGUGCCGAAGUAGAGUUUUCCGAGGUAUUCUUGCAAUGCUCGUUUUGAUGGGGAUAGACCCUUGCAACUGUUGGUUUUGAACGAGGAAUUCCUUGUAAGCAUGGUUUAUCAUCCGACGCUGAAUGCGUCCCUGCCCUUUGUACACACCGCCCGUCGCUCCUACCGAUGAGUCGUCCGGUGAAGUUCGUAGACCUCGUGAUCGCGGAUCACUGGGGGAAGCAAAAUGAACCUCGCGGUUUAGAGGAAGGUGAAGUCGUAACA